AUGGCAGCCGCAGCAGCGGGUGAGAACAGCAGGUUAACUCGGGUGAGAAAGAAGGGGGAUGGCAAGUUCGCCGCAGUUAUGAAGCACCCGGUGACAAAGACAUUGUUGUGGCUGGGGACGUACCAGUCCCCUGAGAUCGCCGCGUGCGCCUACGACCUCGCGGCUAGGGAGAUGAAGGGCACAAAGGCAAAGCUCAACUUCCCCUACCCUCCGCUGGCCAAACUGGUAAUGGAGGUGAUUGCUGCAACGAGGCACCGUAGCCGCAGUCACGACGCACACGCACCACUCUUUAAGGUUGUUACAUUGCCACCGGACCCCACAGCACCGCCUCCACUGCCGCCCAAACUGGUAGUUUACUUUUCCUUCCCCUUUGAAGCGCCCGCUGGAGACACCCCACCGGUGCCUCAAUUCUAUCUCUUAUUCUCCCGUAUCUCUCUGUAA
This 441-nucleotide ribosomal RNA is filed under the name Triticum aestivum (bread wheat). RNAcentral's name for it is "partial small subunit ribosomal RNA". Lineage: Eukaryota; Viridiplantae; Streptophyta; Magnoliopsida; Poales; Poaceae. The record is from RNAcentral.